AACGAACGCUAUCGGUAUGCUUAACACAUGCAAGUCGGACGGACUAAUUAGGGCUUGCUCCAAUUAGUUAGUGGCAGACGGGUGAGUAACACGUGGGAAUCUGCCCAUCAGUACGGAAUAACUUUUAGAAAUAAAAGCUAAUACCGUAUAUUCUCUACAGAGGAAAGAUUUAUCGCUGAUGGAUGAGCCCGCGUCAGAUUAGGUAGUUGGUGAGGUUACGGCUCACCAAGCCGACGAUCUGUAGCUGGUCUGAGAGGAUGAUCAGCCACACUGGGACUGAGACACGGCCCAGACUCCUACGGGAGGCAGCAGUGGGGAAUAUUGGACAAUGGGCGAAAGCCUGAUCCAGCAAUACCGAGUGAGUGAUAAAGGCCCUAGGGUUGUAAAGCUCUUUUAGCAAGGAAGAUAAUGACGUUACUUGCAGAAAAAGCCCCGGCUAACUCCGUG
RNAcentral lists this ribosomal RNA (447 nucleotides) under uncultured bacterium. Its description in RNAcentral is "partial 16S ribosomal RNA". It matches the Rfam family "Bacterial small subunit ribosomal RNA", at positions 29 to 507 of the family's 1533-position model. The record is from RNAcentral.